RNAcentral lists this ribosomal RNA (313 nucleotides) under uncultured bacterium. Its description in RNAcentral is "bacterial SSU rRNA". It matches the Rfam family "Bacterial small subunit ribosomal RNA", at positions 28 to 334 of the family's 1533-position model. The record is from RNAcentral.
GAUGAACGCUGGCGGCGUGCCUAACACAUGCAAGUCGAACGGAUCUGUAUUGAAACCUAGUGAUAUACAGGUUAGUGGCGGACGGGUGAGUAACGCGUGGAUAACCUGCCGUAUACCGGGGGAUAACACUUAGAAAUAGGUGCUAAUACCGCAUAAGCGCACAGCUUCGCAUGAAGCAGUGUGAAAAACUCCGGUGGUAUACGAUGGUUCCGCGUCUGAUUAGCUAGUUGGCGGGGUAACGGCCCACCAAGGCAGCGAUCAGUAGCCGGCCUGAGAGGGUGAACGGCCACAUUGGGACUGAGACACGGCCCAA